RNAcentral lists this non-coding RNA (30 nucleotides) under Rattus norvegicus (Norway rat). Lineage: Eukaryota; Metazoa; Chordata; Mammalia; Rodentia; Muridae. The record is from RNAcentral.
UGGGCGAUACCCUAUACAACUGGGAGAAGA